AAGAAAAAAAAAAAGAGAGCCGUUGCCCUGUAUGUGCGUGUAAAAAAAGAAAAGAGGAUUUGCAUCUCCGUAAUUUGUAAAUCAUUUUGGGGCAUUGACUUAGAGUAAACUUGUCUCCUUUAGAUACAAGGGUGUCUCCUAGUUUACAAUCCUGCAUGUGGCCUUUUAAGAACUUUUUUGAUAUAGCUCUUUUGUGAUAAUCCAAGAAUAUCCUAAG
This 217-nucleotide long non-coding RNA is filed under the name Carica papaya (papaya). Its description in RNAcentral is "long non-coding RNA (CPAP_LNC000762)". Lineage: Eukaryota; Viridiplantae; Streptophyta; Magnoliopsida; Brassicales; Caricaceae. The record is from RNAcentral.